CCGGGAAACGGGGGUUAAUACCGGAGAGGUCAAAGGAUGAAAGGUUUACUGCCUGAAGAAGGGCUCCCGUCUGAUUAGCUAGUAGGUUGGGUAAGACCGCACCUAGGCCACCAUUAUUAGGUGGGCUGAAAAGAUGAGCACCCCCACUGGGACUGAAAACCGGCCCAAACCCCCACGGGGGGGAGCGGUGGGGAAUUUUCCACAAUGGGCGAAAGCCUGACGGAGAAGGACCGGGGGGGGGAAGAAGGCCUUUGGGUUGUAAACCCCUUUUGUUAGGGAAAAAAAAAAUGACGGUCCCUAAAUUAUCCCCCUCGGAAAAAUCCGUGCCACCCGCCGGGGUAAUACGGGGGAGGCUUGUUUCCUCCAUUUUUAUGGGGCGUAAGGCGCCCGUGGGUGCCCCGGAGGGUCUGCUGUAAAAGACCACAUCUCACCUGUG
Molecule: ribosomal RNA, 436 nt
Filed under: Spirulina lonar CCC 482
Lineage: Bacteria; Bacillati; Cyanobacteriota; Cyanophyceae; Spirulinales; Spirulinaceae
Description: partial 16S ribosomal RNA
Rfam family: Bacterial small subunit ribosomal RNA
Source: RNAcentral